AAUGGUCUGAACAAAUUUGACACAGUAACACACGCGAUUAAAUUGUUCUUUCAAACCGCAUUCUGAUUUGGGACGUUGCAGUACUCAGUGAUAUCGAGAAAUACCGGAGCUUUUUUUACUGGUUCGCUUUUGCAGCACAUAAGCUAAAAAAUCCAGCAAGUGAAUUGUAUAUUGCGCCGUUGAUACGGAAUUCUUUAAUUAACAAAUUCAUCAAAAUCGAGUAAAAGGUUUGAUCACUUCGAGUAACCAAUGGUGACGGAAAAUGCGUGACGAGGAGACAUGUCGAAAACUGAAUUGCCAACCAAAAUUCUACCGAAAACAAAGGUUUCAAGAUGUUUUGACGAAAUACUGCGCCAUACGAGAUUUUCAGGACAAAAAGAAAUUUGGAUUAAUUUGUACUGUUCCUCCUAAAGAAGCGUGCCGGCGAGCUGCAUUUGGAAAUUCGCAAAAGUGUGAGCGAAUCCAUUCUCGUGCGAAGAAUGAAUGCUGCAGUGGAAAGUAUCCCGUUGCCGCGUGGAAUGCUCCUUUACAUCCGCAAACACAUCUCUCACCUACCCGACUAAAGCACGUCCUGGGAACGGCUGUUAACGAAAAAGAAAAAAUAUGGCCAGGCCUGACUGAACUUCAGAAAAAUGCUUUGGACUUCCGGAGUAUGACACGCUGCGACGGCUGGCUAAAUCGACAAUCAAAACAUGCUGGGGUACAUAAUCCCAUGGACACCGGAAAAUAUCUGAAGAAAAAAGGUCAAGAAUGGAACCGUCUCCCAAGCAGCAAACAAUUACACUGAAAAUCCAAAAAUCGUACAUCCGGUUGACUACGCACCACAUGUACUGCAUGAAUACGCCAAAAAUCCAUCACCGUCCCUUCUUGGAUCACGACGCUUAUACGAGCAAGUUUUUCAUCGCAGUUUCAAACGCCGUUCUAGUUCACUGCGGAGAUCGGCUUUCGGCCCAAGGAGUUCGCAAAUUUAGUGUUUUUCAUUUCGUCCCAACCGAAACAGCCCGUGAAAGGCAACAUUGUGCGUCCGCGUCACGUUGAUGUAAUGGAAUAUGCGUUCAGCAAAACCGCUGAAGAGAAACGAGCGAAAGGUCACCUUCCAGGGAACGGUGAAAUGGCCAACAUUUCUACGGGAGAGGACGAUGUUCAUGAAAAAAACACAGAAGAGCGUUUACCUCUCAAAGAACCAUUGGAGAAAUUCGACCAAACAGUUACCGGAUCAAAAAUCACAAGUGAUAACCAAAAACCACGCAAAAGUUAGCAACAAUAGGAAAGCAAGUGAUGCAUUCAUUUGCUAUGAAAAGCCGGUUUCUAACGAAGCGCGCAUGAUUUAAUCAUUUUUAAAACUUUAAAGAAAUCGAUGUCAUAAACAACAACUUUCGAGCAGAUUUUCUAAAUCACAUCCGAGAUCACGCAUAAAACAUAGUAAAAGGCGCAAGAUUGUCAAACGGGUAAGCUGCUCAUUACAUAAU
Long non-coding RNA from Paramacrobiotus metropolitanus, 1469 nucleotides. RefSeq lists it as uncharacterized. The record is from RefSeq and is a predicted model, not a curated record. The transcript has 3 exons. Lineage: Eukaryota; Metazoa; Tardigrada; Eutardigrada; Parachela; Macrobiotidae.